Molecule: ribosomal RNA, 726 nt
Filed under: Salmonella enterica subsp. enterica serovar Altona
Lineage: Bacteria; Pseudomonadati; Pseudomonadota; Gammaproteobacteria; Enterobacterales; Enterobacteriaceae
Description: partial 23S ribosomal RNA
Rfam family: Bacterial large subunit ribosomal RNA
Source: RNAcentral
GGUUAAGCGACUAAGCGUACACGGUGGAUGCCCUGGCAGUCAGAGGCGAUGAAGGACGUGCUAAUCUGCGAUAAGCGCCGGUAAGGUGAUAUGAACCGUUAUAACCGGCGAUUUCCGAAUGGGGAAACCCAGUGUGAUUCGUCACACUAUCAUUAACUGAAUCCAUAGGUUAAUGAGGCGAACCGGGGGAACUGAAACAUCUAAGUACCCCGAGGAAAAGAAAUCAACCGAGAUUCCCCCAGUAGCGGCGAGCGAACGGGGAGGAGCCCAGAGCCUGAAUCAGCAUGUGUGUUAGUGGAAGCGUCUGGAAAGGCGCGCGAUACAGGGUGACAGCCCCGUACACAAAAGCGCAUGUGCUGUGAGCUCGAUGAGUAGGGCGGGACACGUGGUAUCCUGUCUGAAUAUGGGGGGACCAUCCUCCAAGGCUAAAUACUCCUGACUGACCGAUAGUGAACCAGUACCGUGAGGGAAAGGCGAAAAGAACCCCGGCGAGGGGAGUGAAAAAGAACCUGAAACCGUGUACGUACAAGCAGUGGGAGCCCCACCACUAAGCCAGUGGUGAACUCCACAUACGCAUCCUUUGCUGAGGAUACGGUUAACGGAGCGAAAGCGACGUUCAACCGCAAAAGAAGCAGAGGGGGCUUAGUGGUGGGGUGACUGCGUACCUUUUGUAUAAUGGGUCAGCGACUUAUAUUCUGUAGCAAGGUUAACCGUAUAGGGGAGCCG